GUUAGACGCAUCUGCAUUUGAGACGCAGUAAGGAGUAAUGUAUUAAUAUAGGGGUCCCUGUGUCUGCGCUCAGAAUCUCCAUGGUCCCUCUGCAUUGCCUCUGGCCAGCUGCAUGCCUCCGGACAAAUCAUUGCUUUCCAAGUUCUCUGCAAAACAGCGACAUAAUUGGUCUUUCUGCAUGUGCUCUGAGCCCCCACGGCUUAUUGUUAACACAGCUACUAGAGUCAUCUUUCCAAAGUGACCAUAGUCAACAUGGGGGCGCCACCUGGUACCACGAGGAGCACACCAAGAAAGAGCAGCAACACUGAAGGACUGCGGGAGCCGGACGCUGGGAAUCUGCCGUCUUUCCCUGGACUGCCCACCUCGGCUCAGCUUUCACGUGAGAGAAAUAGAUUGUGUUCUCAUACUCAACUAGAUGAGAAAAAUGUCCUUCAAGCCCCUCAGACCUUGAAGAAAGUCAUCCAGAUGCACCCUCUGACGUGCACCUGCAACCACAACGGGGAGCCACGAUGUUUCAGAAAUGUAUCAGCAGCAGAGAGCAUGUUGCUAUUCCCCACACAAUUCAUUUGUGCUGUUAGAAGCAGUCCCAGAAGCAAAGACAUCGUGCAGCAGCUGUGCAGAGCUGGCUUCUCAUCACAGCUGAACGCCAACAUGGGCGAAUCAAUGAGGAAGACACCCCCACUUCUGCGGACCUACAGCCGCCAGUUCCAAAGGCACAUAAAUAUCAAGCAUCCUGCAAGAGAAGUGACAUGGCAGCAGGGAGAAUGACAGUCAAGCCCUCCGUGGCCGGGAGCACAUAGAGUCCUGCAGGUGGCUGGCUGGUCAAGCUGGGUGAGUAGAGUUGAGUGAUGUCUGCUUCUGAGCCACGUUCCAGGACACUGCAUCCGAACAAGACCCUGGCUGCAUCGUGCACAUGUUAGAGAGGCCCUGGACUAGGCUGUUGGUUCUCAACCUGGCUAUUUUAAUAAGUCCCCUAGCUAGAGGACCCGUCUGCUUGCAGCUCACAUUGGUAUGAAAGUGGAGCCACCAAUUGGAUCGGGAAUUGCCAUCUCCACCACCGACAUGGGGCCCUAGAGUCACCAGCAUCACUCACUGGUCAGCUGAAACACAACGUUAGGAAGACUGUCACAGACCUGGCUCACUGCAAGGGUGAAGGGAGGCUGAUGUGACGAGUGAGACGCUCCCUGUGGGUGAGGGGAGCAGCCCCCUGCCCCCCAUGUCCUGGGAGGUGGAUCGAAUCGUCGAGGAGGAAUCUUGAGAGGGGUGCAAUUCAGGGGGCUGAGAGUUCCAACUUUUCCUCUCCUGUUUUAGGAAGUGCUUCUGAAAUGGUCC
Molecule: long non-coding RNA, 1332 nt
Filed under: Equus caballus (horse)
Lineage: Eukaryota; Metazoa; Chordata; Mammalia; Perissodactyla; Equidae
Description: lncRNA (ENSECAG00000050442.1)
Source: RNAcentral